Molecule: ribosomal RNA, 834 nt
Filed under: Phialemonium pulveris
Lineage: Eukaryota; Fungi; Ascomycota; Sordariomycetes; Cephalothecales; Cephalothecaceae
Description: partial large subunit ribosomal RNA
Rfam family: Eukaryotic large subunit ribosomal RNA
Source: RNAcentral
UGCCCUAGUAACGGCGAGUGAAGCGGCAACAGCUCGAAUUUGAAAUCUGGCCUCGGCCCGAGUUGUAAUCUGUAGAGGACGCUUUUGGCGCGGUGCCUUCCGAGUUCCCUGGAACGGGACGCCAUAGAGGGUGAGAGCCCCGUAAGGUCGGACACCAAGCCUGUGUAAAGCCCCUUCGACGAGUCGAGUAGCUUGGGAAUGCUGCUCUAAGCGGGAGGUAAACUUCUUCUAAAGCUAAAUACUGGCCAGAGACCGAUAGCGCACAAGUAGAGUGAUCGAAAGAUGAAAAGCACUUUGAAAAGAGGGUCAAAUAGUACGUGAAAUUGCUGAAAGGGAAGCGCUUGUGAUCAGACUCGCGCCGGGCGGAUCAUCCAGCGGUCUCCGCUGGUGCACUCCGACCGGCGCGGGCCAGCGUCGGCUGUCGCGGGGGGAUAAAAGCACCGGGAACGUAGCUCCCCCCGGGGAGUGUUAUAGCCCUCUGCAGAAUACCCCCGCGGCGGCCGAGGUCCGCGCACUGCAAGGACGCUGGCGUAAUGGUCAUCAGCGACCCGUCUUGAAACACGGACCAAGGAGUCGAGGUUUUGCGCGAGUGUUCGGGUGCAAAGCCCCAGCGCGUAAUUAAAGUGAACGUAGGUGAGAGCUUCGGCGCAUCAUCGACCGAUCCUGAUGUAUUCGGAUGGAUUUGAGUAGGAGCGUAAAGCCUCGGACCCGAAAGAUGGUGAACUAUGCCUGUAUAGGGUGAAGCCAGAGGAAACUCUGGUGGAGGCUCGCAGCGGUUCUGACGUGCAAAUCGAUCGUCAAAUAUGGGCAUGGGGGGCGAAAGACUAAUCGAAC